This 500-nucleotide ribosomal RNA is filed under the name uncultured bacterium. RNAcentral's name for it is "partial 16S ribosomal RNA". It matches the Rfam family "Bacterial small subunit ribosomal RNA", at positions 30 to 523 of the family's 1533-position model. The record is from RNAcentral.
AUUGAACGCUGGCGGCAUGCUUUACACAUGCAAGUCGAACGGUAACAGGGUGCUUGCACCGCUGACGAGUGGCGAACGGGUGAGUAAUGCGUCGGAACGUGCCGAGUAGUGGGGGAUAACGCAGCGAAAGUUGUGCUAAUACCGCAUACGUACUGAGGUAGAAAGUGGGGGACCUUCGGGCCUCACGCUAUUCGAGCGGCCGACGUCUGAUUAGCUAGUAGGUGGGGUAAAGGCUCACCUAGGCGACGAUCAGUAGCGGGUCUGAGAGGAUGAUCCGCCACACUGGGACUGAGACACGGCCCAGACUCCUACGGGAGGCAGCAGUGGGGAAUUUUGGACAAUGGGCGAAAGCCUGAUCCAGCCAUGCCGCGUGUCUGAAGGAGGCCUUCGGGUUGUAAAGGACUUUUGUCAGGGAGGAAAUCCCUAGUGCUAAUAACACUGGGGGAUGACAGUACCUGAAGAAUAAGCACCGGCUAACUACGUGCCAGCAGCCGCCGCGG